CACGUAGGGUGCGAGCGUUGUCCGGAAUUAUUGGGCGUAAAGAGCUCGUAGGCGGUGUGUCGCGUCGGCCGUGAAAACCUGGGGCUUAACUCUGGGCGUGCGGUCGAUACGGGCAUCACUGGAGUUCGGCAGGGGAGACUGGAAUUCCUGGUGUAGCGGUGGAAUGCGCAGAUAUCAGGAGGAACACCGGUGGCGAAGGCGGGUCUCUGGGCAGUAACUGACGCUGAGGAGCGAAAGCGUGGGGAGCGAACAGG
This 254-nucleotide ribosomal RNA is filed under the name uncultured bacterium. RNAcentral's name for it is "partial 16S ribosomal RNA". It matches the Rfam family "Bacterial small subunit ribosomal RNA", at positions 524 to 776 of the family's 1533-position model. The record is from RNAcentral.